Monodelphis domestica (gray short-tailed opossum) is the source of this 4184-nucleotide long non-coding RNA. RefSeq lists it as uncharacterized. NCBI's taxonomy places the organism in Eukaryota, Metazoa, Chordata, Mammalia, Didelphimorphia, Didelphidae. The record is from RefSeq and is a predicted model, not a curated record.
UACAUAAAUGAAAUAUAUUAUUAUCUUAAGUAUCAUCUGCAUAGUUCUAACUGAUUUUGGGUUCAAAGCUACUUAGUUCCCAGAUAAGAUAGGCCCAUAAUGAAACCAAGUGAAAUAUUAAGAUCAAUUUACCUUAUCAUGGUGGACUUAAUGGACUUUUAGAAAUCUUUGGAAGAAAACUGUUGGAUUGGAAUAUCUUGGUGAGUUUGUACAGUUCUUUUUAUCCUAAUAUUGCAUUUUUGCAUGUCAUAUUGUACUUAUUUGUCAAGUUGGCCACCUAGCACUAAUAAAGAGGACUAUAGAUAGGGUGUAUAUGUGGAAGAAGAGGUCAAUUAUUGAGAGAGAUUUUUUUCCUACUGGUCAAAUUAGUACUUUGUGUUAAUAAUGUGCUCUUUCUGUAAUGGAAACCUCCUAAUACUACUUUCUAUGUGGCUUAAUGUAACCUUUUUGCCAUUGGCAGGAGUGUUUCUUGUAGAAGAAAGGUCCUUCACCCUUUUUUUGUCACAAAUACAUCUAGUCAAAAGGAUGGAAAAAGGGUUCCCUUCUAUCUUGUUAUAUUCCCAGAUCCAGAGAUGCAAAUCAAACUGAAUUACUGUGGAAUUUAGAACUCUGGCCAGAAUAUUGCUAUUCCUCCUUCACUCUCAGGUGUAGUAAGAAAAGGAAUUGAAUUUAGCCUCUCUUUAUAAAUCAUGUCUCUAGAAACUGUGCCAACAAUUUUUAGAUUAUAGAAUCUAUAGGGAAUGGAAAUUCUAAUCUUUAUAGAAAAAAGUCUACUCAAACUUCCUUGUUUUCCUUCUCCUUCUGUGAUUAGGUCACUCCAGAAAGGUCAGGGCACUGCAAUUGUCAUGUGUGACUGCUUCCUUAAUAAACGAUUGGACUAGUUAACCUUGCCAACUAGCCUUUUAAAUACUGAAACCAAGGUCAGAUUGGUUUGACUUUGACAAAAUAGCUUUUGAAUUCAUAAAACAUGUUCUUAUGGGGAGAUACAUUCUAAUGAGAAAUAUGAUUUCAGUCUCUGUGAGACCUGAGAUCUAGAUUAUUUUCUGGAGAUGCAUUGUUUGGUGUUUUGAAAGUGAUAUAAUAUACAUUUAUUUAUAUGUAAGAUUGCUCUUUAUAUGUGGAAGAUUUAUGGCUGUGUCAGAUGAGUUUACCAAACCACCAAGGACUUUUCCCUGGAAACCCCUGGUAUAAUGAUUUAGAUAAUAAUAAUAAAAAAAUGCAUGAGCUCAAGACAACAGGAUUAUUGUCACAGGGCAAUUCCCCUUCUCUUCUCUCUCUUCCAGGCCCAACAACCUCUUUUUUGUGGGGUGCAGCUGGUGGUGGUAAGGAAGAAAGAAGGAAGGCAGGAUGACACAAAAUAAUCUAGAAUCUGAUGCCAUGAGAAUCCUGACUCUACCUCCAACUGACUGUCAAGUAUCACAUGACUACUUAAAGCUAACAUUUUCAGAGUACGAUACUUAGUCCCUCUUUGUUUUUCAUGUGUUUAACUGUUAUUUCACUGCUACUUGAAUAACUCUUCAUAGGAAAAUUCCUCUCCUAGUGCAACUACUAAGGCAGCUACUUCAAAACUUAAGUCUUGAAGCUGUUUGGAGGUGAUGAGAAGUUAAAUGACUUUGUCUGGUUCAGAUGGUCAAAACAUGGGUCUUCUUGAGUUUGGCACUGGCUCUCAACUGUGCUAAUCUGCUUCUCCUUUUUAGUUCACUGAAAUAUUUAAUGCACUGUGAACCAUACUGCUUAUGCUAAUGCACUGAUAGUCUAUAUUCUUGGAAGAAGCCCAAUAAAAAUUAAAAGAAUUCCGUUGAUUAUCCAGUGAGAAGACUUAUGUCCCUAACUCCCUCACCUGUUUUAAUGACAUCAUGCAGGUUUCAAGGCACAGUCAAUACAAUUGACUGGUUCUUCAAGAGAAGUUACAAAAAGGAAAUUCUUUGAGGAUUGCAGUGCUUUCAUAGGACAGGGGCACCCAGCAGAAUGCUAAGCUAAUGACUGACGACUUCGAACUACUACCUAAAAGUAAAAAAUGGCAGUCAAUCAACACUUAUGAGAUACACACUGUGCUAUGUAUGCCCUUCAUAAAGUAACAACCAAAAUGGAAGAAUUGUUUUUGAAUAGAGUCUGGAAAAGUCCCAAACCCUUUGCUACAGUCACCCAAAUAUUCAAGAAGAAUUAAAAAAAAUUAAAUUAAAUAUAGCCUGGCUUCCCCUUUGGAACACACUGAUCAAAACAAACUGAUUAAGCUGUGUGUGCACAUGGCCACAAUAACAGGUGGCUGAGGGGAAAUCCCCAAAGACUGUCGAGCUUAGAUGCUUCACAGCAACAGAGGAAAGAGGCCUGGUUAGAUGGAUUUAGCUUCUGGGCCCCACAAAUAUAUUGGACUCACAAAUGGGGAGCCAGCAGUGCAUGUCUGCAGCUGGGCACAACACAGAGUUCUUGACUCACAGUGACUAACAGGGAAGUGUAGACAAUGUAGUGAACAAUGAAGUGGAGAAAACUGUUGAUCAAAGGAAAUGAUAUUGGUCCGGAAACUUCUUUUCCCUACCCUUGUAAUGUUGAGUUUUGUGUAGAGAGCCUUUUACUCCAGAUCCAAAAGUAAUCAUAGUGAAUUGACACACCAUUUCCAGUAGCAAUGGGAGUGUUGAUAUGAUAUAAUUCCAUAGCUAGAAAGCGUUGGGGAGAGUACCCAAGUGAUGGGUGACAAGAAGAUGAAUAGGCUAUCAACUCUAAUAGAAGCUCUUCCAAUUUGUUGUGAAUAUCUCUUAGUGGAAAAGGCAACAAGUUGGGGUCUAGAGCCCAGGGUUCUAGUAAAAGCUUUGUUAUUAAAUGAAGGAGUGAGUGUGGAGUAGCAGGGCAGGAAAAGCUUUGGAUUUUGGAAUUAGGGAAUCUAGAUUAAAUUCCUAAAUCUAUUCCUUGUCAUAACCAUGAACAAGCCACUUGAUCUCAGUUUCUCACUUUUAAAAUGAGAGAGCUAAACUAGAUGAGUGCUAAGGCUUCUUCUAACUCUAUAAAGUUAUGAUCAUACCUACUUCAAAGAGUUGUUAUGAACAUGAAAAUGAGACCAUAGUGUGGUUUGGAAAAUAUCCUAUUAGAUAAGUAUAAGUAACAUUGUUAUUUAAUGUGAAUGGUGACUAGAUAGCUAGCAGAGAAGGUAGAGUGUUAGGCUUAAAAGUUAGAAAGACCUGGGUUCCAAUCCUGCCUCAGACACUUAUUAGCUAUCUGACCCUGGGCAAGUCCCUUAAUCUCCUCCUACCUCAUUUUCCUUAUCUAUAAGAAAAGUAUAAUAAUGAUAAUACAUAGGAUUGUUAAGAGGAUCAAAAGAGAUAACAUGUUAUAUUUGCCAGCAGCAAAGCACCCUGUAAAUACUAUCAUCAUUAUGAAUACUGUGGGAAAAUGAAGGAUCAGAAAAUACUAAAGUGAUUCAGAGAAAAUUUAAGUGGUGAAAAGGAAAGGAAUUGUUGAAUGCAAAAUGAAUGAAAAAGCAUAAUUAAGCAUUUACUACGUGUCAAGAAAGAUGCCAAAUGCUGAGAAUACAAUUACAUUAGCAAGCCAGACUCUGUACCUCUGUAUAUACUUAAGGAUCUUAUUAUUCUAUUAAGAGGAAGAUAGUCCAUGUAUCAUAUAGAGGAAUGAUGGCCAGGUAGGAGUGAUUUGAUUUGGAAAGUCACUGAGAGGAGCCAGAGGGGAAUGGAUUGACACACCUAGUAGCAAUGGCAGUAUCAGAUAUAAUUCCAGAGCUAGAAAGAAUUGGGGGAGAGUACCAACCGAUGAGUGGCAAGAGGAUGAAUCAGACACAAAGUAAAGGAUGACUGAAACCAACUAGCUAUGGUGAACCACAUGAGGCAUUCAUCAAACUGAGUAACUAAAGUUACCAUUCUUUUCUCUCAGUUACCUUGAAAAUGAAAGCAACAAUAUUUAAGAAACUUAUUCUCCAUAUUUGUUGUAUUUAUGUGAAUUAGACUGAUCUGAUUUAUAAUAUCAGAUACCCGGUGAGAACAGACAUAGACAUGAUGCAAAAAAGGAAUUAGCUAUUAAUUAUGUUAAAAUUUUUCAUUUAAUUUUUUAUAUGUUGAUAUAUCAGCUGUUAAUUACUAAGAAAUUCACUUGCUUUAUGAAAUGAUAAUAUUCCUAAAAUGUUCAGUUUAAAUAUUUUUAUAAAUUAUGUUUUAAUAAAUUGAAUCAUUUUAUGUACA